CAGAACACGCCAGAGCCACGCGUCCCUACCUUCCAUGUGUUGUGUCAUCAGCCGUGAUGUCCACACUCGCAGGGAAUUAAAGCUCAAACGUCUCCAGGUCUAUUAAAAAAUCCCAACUUCUGAUCCAGCCACCAUCCUCCCCUUCUUCACCACCCAAAACAUGGAUGAUUCAUAGAAAUUAAGCUCCAUCCGAGGGUGAUAUCCUUGGAAUAUGAAGAAGAAUUCUACAUGGAGUUGCAAAUUUUCACAGGGUAACCUAUAAAAGGUGGAGAACUUAAUUAAUAAGGGAAGAAACAUGUGCGACACCAUGAAGCUCUUUGAUUCUCAUUGUCACCUCCAAGAUCCAAGAAUCUUGAACAUGGCACCACAACUGAUUGAAACAGCCCUUAAUUCUGGCAUAAGACAUUUUGCUGUUAAUGGAGUAUCCGAGAAUGAUUGGCAUUUGGUGAAACAAAUGAGUGACACCUAUCAAUGUGUAGUUCCAUGCUUUGGGCUUCAUCCUUGGUAUGUUGCAGAGAGGACUCCCUUCUGGUUCAAUACUUUGAAGGAUUUCUUUCAUGCUACUCCUGCUGCUACUGUUGGAGAGAUUGGUCUGGACAAGGGCUCACGUGGAAGGGAAAUCGAUUUUGUGAAUCAGGUUGAAGUUUUCCAGCAACAGCUUGAACUUGCCAAAGAGUUGAAAAGACCAGUUUCUGUCCAUUGCGUUCGUGCUUUUGGUGAUCUUCUUCAGAUAAUGCAACAUGUUGGACCUUUUCCUGCUGGUGUGAUUCUUCAUUCUUACCUAGGAUCCGCUGAAAUGGUUCCUGAAUUUGCCAAACUUGGUGCUUACUUCUCAUUUUCUGGGUAUCUUAUGUCCAUGAAAGAACAGAAGGCAAAGAAAAUGUUAAGGACGAUACCUGUGGAAAGGAUUUUAUUGGAGUCAGAUGCACCUGAUGCUCUACCAAAAUCAGAUUUGGAUUCUCUGUUUUGGGUUGAAAGAGACUCUUAUGCUUCUAAAGAGCUUCAGACCAAGGACAUAAACCCAGCUUCAAGUUCAGGCAAUCUUUCUGAUAAUCCUGCUGCGAGAAAUAAAUCAGUACUGCCACAAGAAACACUUAAUCAUCCGGCUAACAUUCAUAGUACACAAUGCUGAUCGAGUCCCUUGCUUUCAUGUUUUACUUGUGACAAGUUUAGAUUGAAAUUCAACUAUUUCUAAAGGAACAAGAGACCCUCAUACCAUUUUCUAAGGAAUAGAAAUAUUUCGAUUUGCUAGACAAAGAAGCCACCAUCAUAAUUUCCGAACAAAAUACCCUCCCAACCUACUGUGGCCAUCCCAUCUUGAAUAUGUGCCAGAAAAGAAUCUAACAUUCACAACUCCCGGUAUUGAAAUCUUCUAAUCAACCUAGGAUUCCAAUGACCACUAAUCCCUUCUACAAACUUACAGAGGGUUACAACAGCAUCAGAGUAUACUGCUAUGUGCUCCUUUAUGUCGCAUCUUUGCUUGAGAUGAGUAAGGAGGAGCUUGCAGAAAUAAGUUACAGGAAUGCCGUACGCCUGUUCUCUUU
Molecule: RNA transcript, 1544 nt
Organism: Vitis riparia (riverbank grape)
Lineage: Eukaryota; Viridiplantae; Streptophyta; Magnoliopsida; Vitales; Vitaceae
Exons: 10
Source: RefSeq, a predicted model, not a curated record